Molecule: ribosomal RNA, 497 nt
Filed under: uncultured bacterium
Lineage: Bacteria
Description: partial 16S ribosomal RNA
Rfam family: Bacterial small subunit ribosomal RNA
Source: RNAcentral
GAUGAACGCUGGCGGCGUGCCUAAUACAUGCAAGUCGAGCGAACAGACGAGGAGCUUGCUCCUUUGACGUUAGCGGCGGACGGGUGAGUAACACGUGGGUAACCUACCUAUAAGACUGGGAUAACUUCGGGAAACCGGAGCUAAUACCGGAUAAUAUUUCGAACCGCAUGGUUCGAUAGUGAACGAUGGCUUUGCUAUCACUUAUAGAUGGACCUGCGCCGUAUUAGCUAGUUGGUAAGGUAACGGCUUACCAAGGCAACGAUACGUAGCCGACCUGCGAGGGUGAUCGGCCACACUGGAACUGAGACACGGUCCAGACUCCUACGGGAGGCAGCAGUAGGGAAUCUUCCGCAAUGGGCGAAAGCCUGACGGAGCAACGCCGCGUGAGUGAUGAAGGUCUUCGGAUCGUAAAACUCUGUUAUUAGGGAAGAACAAACGUGUAAGUAACUGUGCACGUCUUGACGGUACCUAAUCAGAAAGCCACGGCUAACUACGUG